UACGGAGGGGGCAAGCAUUAAUCGGAUUUAUUGGGCGUAAAGGGCGCGUAGGCGGAGAUAAUAGUCAGAUGUGAAAUCCUGGGGCUCAACCUCAGAACUGCAUUUGAAACUGUAUCUCUAGAGGGUAGGAGGAGAAAACGGAAUUCCACAAGUAGCGGUGAAAUGCGUAGAUAUGUGGAAGAACACCGGUGGCGAGGGCGGUUUUCUAUCUUAUUCCUGACGCUGAGGCGCGAAAGCAAGGGGAUCAAACAGG
RNAcentral lists this ribosomal RNA (253 nucleotides) under uncultured bacterium. RNAcentral describes it as "partial 16S ribosomal RNA". It matches the Rfam family "Bacterial small subunit ribosomal RNA", at positions 524 to 776 of the family's 1533-position model. The record is from RNAcentral.